AGAGUUUGAUCCUGGCUCAGAAUGAACGCUGGCGGCGUGCUUAACACAUGCAAGUCGAACGGAAUCCAAGGAGCUUGCUCCUGAAGAUUUAGUGGCGAACGGGUGAGUAUCACGUGAGCAACCUGCCCCGAAGACUGGGAUAACACCGGGAAACCGGUGCUAAUACCGGAUGCCUUCCAAUGAUCGCAUGGUCGAUGGAAGAAAUGUUUUUUCGCUUCGGGAGGGGCUCGCGGUCCAUCAGCUUGUUGGUGGGGUAAUGGCCCACCAAGGCUACGACGGAUAGCUGGUCUGAGAGGACGAUCAGCCACACUGGAACUGAGACACGGUCCAGACUCCUACGGGAGGCAGCAGUGGGGAAUCUUGCGCAAUGGACGAAAGUCUGACGCAGCAACGCCGCGUGAGGGACGAAGGCUUUCUGAGUUGUAAACCUCUUUCGACAGGAACGAUUGUGACGGUACCUGCAGAAGAAGCACCGGCCAACUACGUGCCAGCAGCCGCGGUGAUACGUAGGGUGCAAGCGUUGUUCGGAUUUAUUGGGCGUAAAGAGCUCGUAGGCGGUUCGAUAAGUCGGGUGUUAAACCCCCAGGCUCAACCUGGGGCAGCCACCCGAUACUGUCGUGACUAGAGUUUGGUAGGGGACCACGGAACUCCUGGUGUAGCGGUGGAAUGCGCAGAUAUCAGGAGGAACACCAGUAGCGAAGGCGGUGAUCUGGGCCAAUACUGACACUGAGGAGCGAAAGCGUGGGGAGCAAACAGGAUUAGAUACCCUGGUAGUCCACGCCGUAAACGGUGGGCACUAGGUGUGGGGACUUUUCAACGGUUUCCGCGCCGCAGCUAACGCAUUAAGUGCCCCGCCUGGGGAGUACGGUCGCAAGACUAAAACUCAAAGGAAUUGACGG
RNAcentral lists this ribosomal RNA (899 nucleotides) under uncultured bacterium. Its description in RNAcentral is "bacterial SSU rRNA". It matches the Rfam family "Bacterial small subunit ribosomal RNA", at positions 8 to 916 of the family's 1533-position model. The record is from RNAcentral.